ACGCGCCUGACGCUGCUCCUGUUGCUAUGGUCACCGCACCUGUACCGCUCGUCGCCAUGCUUGCGCGUUUCGCUGUGGCUGCUUUUGCCACCGCGCCUGUUUUUCCUGUGUCUGCUACGGUUCGGACUGUCGCUCCCCCCGCCGCGCCGCCUCGCCCGCGCUCACCACGCAUGCCGAGUCUGGCGUUCCCGCGAUCGGCACGGAGCUCGCCGCCCCCCCCGGACCUGGGGUUGAGGUCAGCGCAGCCGCUCCCGCUGGCUGCUGGGAUCGAGGCUGGCCCACGCUCCCCGGCCGCCCCGCCCGUCCCGGUCGCUGCCGCGGAUGGCUGAUUCCCGCCUAUCCCCGUGACUGCGCGCACCGAGCCCGCGCUUUUCCCCGCUGUGUCCGCGGUAAUUCCUGCCUUUCCUGUCUCCGCUUCUGCCACCCCUGUCCCCCUCGUCUCCGCAAGAGCUGCUUGUACCGUCCUCCCGCGCUCUGGGGACAAGGAUAGGGUCUACUAGGUAUCUCUGAGGAAAUAAGUGAUUGUGAGGAUCCUGGGAUUUCUGGGGAUUCACUUUGACCUUCUUCAGGCCCUUCAUCUAUAUCUAAAGCGCCUUGCUGAUUGGAAGAUAAAUGUUCCUCCACUGGCUGAUAACCAAGUGGCAAAAAACCUCCCUCCCCCAGCUGAUGGCUAGAGUGGGAUCCUGCCCUAGCUUCAGAGGGACCCAGAAUUGCCCUCCGACAACUGGAUAAACCUGCAUUUCUGUGAGAAAUAACUUCCAGCAGCACCCCUGCCAGAGACAAAAGCUCUAAUGCCUCUUUGUCUCUCUGGGUUGCUAAAUGAUAAAAAGAUCUAUUAAUCUGUUCCCAAAAACUUGGCUCAAAUAAUAAAUUUGUUUCAGCAUUUGGAAACCUAA
This is a long non-coding RNA of Catharus ustulatus (Swainson's thrush), 896 nucleotides long. RefSeq lists it as uncharacterized. The transcript is spliced from 2 exons. The record is from RefSeq and is a predicted model, not a curated record. NCBI's taxonomy places the organism in Eukaryota, Metazoa, Chordata, Aves, Passeriformes, Turdidae.